CUCUCUGCCUCUCUCUCUCUCUGCAUAUGAGAUAUCCCACUAGACACAGAUGUCAGUUCAACAUUUAGUUUUGACUCACAUUUGGUUGAGUUGUCAACUAAAGUAAAUUUCACAUGAAAAUAAACCUUCAGACAUAGUUACCAGACCCGGACUCAGGGAUGGCUAACCCUGGAGAUCCCUUGAAUCUCCACCGAGGUGGUCCACCUUCCCUGUGGCCGAUCUGGUUACUCUAUUGACAGUGGACAGGACAUGGACGUCUCGUUUGUCAUGCCACUUUACUGCCAGCUGUUGACCAUUCUCCUUGAACUCCACCUCCCCUCUCUGCAUCUUCCUGCAUCCGAAUGCCGGCAUCCCCUUCCUGUUCGACCUUACUGUGCCACAGGUCCCUGUGCUGUUGGAGAGCAGAUGCUGGAAGAGUGUGGGACUGCUGUACCAAUUGUCCACAUACAAGGUGUGUCCCUUGCCGAGAUGAGGAGCCAGCAUGGUCAUCACUACAGACCUGGACACCCCAAGCCCCUCAUAAUGUUGGAUGUCAGUGGUGGACCCUGUGUAAACUAUAAUGUCAUGGACAAAUCCUGUCUUCACGUCAUACAUAACAAAGAACUUGACCCCAAACCUGUGUCUUUUGGAGGGAAUAUAUUGACGGAAUGCCAGCCUACCUUUCCAUAACAUCAGGAACUCAUCAAUGCAUAGGUCCUUGUAUGGCACAAAGACCCGACCAAAUGCUGAUGUCAGGCUGGUAAGAAUAUUUCUUAUUUUGUAUAACGGGUCAUUAAGGAUGGCAGUAGCAUUGUUGCAGGCAUCGCAGCAGAACUUGGAAGCGGUCUUGGGAAAAGAGGGUGGCAAAGAAGGGAGUUGCAAACACAGGAUCUGUGCACCAGUAUUUUCUUAGGGAGUUUCUUUACUAUCCCCAUGAGAAGGACUGUCAUCAGGAAGGUAUACACUUCACCAAUUGUGGUUGUCAUCCAUUUAGCGAGUUUCCCCCCCACUCCUGGCUCUCUUUCUCCUGUAGCUCCAAGGCAUAGAGAUUGGUCUCAUCUACUAUGUCUCCCACCAGCUCCUCUGUCAGAAACAACUUGAAGCACUCUGCCUCAGUUGGAAAUGGCAAGGGGCGUUGCACUCCAGACUGGGACUCAUCAAAGCAAACAGCAGGGCCAGGAGGGGUGAAAUGGCUGGUGGCCUUCCAGACACCACAGAACUCCUGUACUUCAUCCACUGUCUGUCUGCCUCCAUCACCAACAGCAACGUCAAAAGGACCUGGGACUUCAUCAGUGGACAAGGGGUCCUCAGAUUCAGGGUUCUCAAAGGCUACAAGGUUGGGGGGCAGCUCCUCACUGUCACUGUCAGAAUAUGAUUCCUUGACUUUCAUAUUCAGACUCAUUGUCUGAAUUGUAAAAAAUCUCUAGAAUUUCCACAUUUGUGAGUUGUCUCCUUUUGAAAGACAUUGCUAAUGCUACAGCUUAUCUCACUAGCUACAUACAUAAACAACAACACUGAACGAGUCAGAGUGGGAGUGAGAGGUUACGUGAUUGACUGCUGGCACGUGCCAGGUGUAUCAAUAAAUUACUUUCAGAAAAUGUUUUGUGUGGUAAUUAUUUAUAUAUUUACUGUUUUAUUCACGUUUUCAAUUACCGGUGACAAAUCAUGCAUUCUGAUUCUUGCAUAGAUUGUAAUGGGCACAUAUU
RNAcentral lists this long non-coding RNA (1685 nucleotides) under Salmo salar (Atlantic salmon). RNAcentral's name for it is "lncRNA (ENSSSAG00000113411.1, ENSSSAG00000119163.1)". Lineage: Eukaryota; Metazoa; Chordata; Actinopteri; Salmoniformes; Salmonidae. The record is from RNAcentral.